RNAcentral lists this long non-coding RNA (226 nucleotides) under Elaeis guineensis (African oil palm). Its description in RNAcentral is "long non-coding RNA (EGUI_LNC002879)". Lineage: Eukaryota; Viridiplantae; Streptophyta; Magnoliopsida; Arecales; Arecaceae. The record is from RNAcentral.
CCUCUCAAAUAGCCUUUAUUAAAGACUACCUUAUAUUUGAAAGCUAUAUAUACUUUGGCUAAGGAGAUCAUAAGCCACCAUAACAGAACCAAAUCCAAAGAGACUUUAAUCAAGAUUGACUUUGAAAAAGACUUUGAUAGCAUUUCAUGAGAUUUUCUACUCGAAAUGUUGGCAAGGAGAGGUUUGGAACCAAAUGGUUACAUGGACAUCUAAUCUCCUCAAAACU